ACCAGAACCAGGACCAGAACCAGGACCAGGACCAGAACCAGAACCAGGACCAGGAUCUGCUUCGUUUGGACCCGACCUCCAGCAGAACCUUCUGGACCGCUGCUGGAGUUGUAAUUUAUUUUUGUCUGUAAAUAAAGAUGGCCGCCGCCUCCUCCGCUCCGGUGGGCCUCCUGCUCCUGCUCCUGGUUUCCGUGGAAACGAGGCCUUCACCUCAGCACAACGAGCAGCAGGUGUUUCUCUCUCUGUUCGGCUCUCGCCUCGCCUCCCUCAUCGAGGCCACGCCCCCGCCUGAUGACAUCACAGAGGGCUCCGCCUCCUCGCCAACCUCCCCGCCUCUGCUGCUGGC
Molecule: long non-coding RNA, 346 nt
Organism: Xiphophorus hellerii (green swordtail)
Lineage: Eukaryota; Metazoa; Chordata; Actinopteri; Cyprinodontiformes; Poeciliidae
Exons: 3
Source: RefSeq, a predicted model, not a curated record